AAGGACGAACGCUGGCGGCGUGCUUACACAGUGCAAGUCGAACGGAGCGCAGCAAUGCGCUUAGUGGCGGACGGGUGAGUAACGCGUGAGCAAUCUGCCUUGUACAACGGGAUAACACAGAGAAAUUUGUGCUAAUACGGUAUAAGACCACAGUGGGGCAUCCCACAGGGGUAAAAGAAAUUCGGUAUAAGAGGAGCUCGCGUCCCAUUAGCUAGUUGGUGAGGUAACGGCCCACCAAGGCGACGAUGGGUAGCCGAUCUGAGAGGAUGAACGGCCACACUGGAACUGAGACACGGUCCAGACUCCUACGGGAGGCAGCAGUGGGGAAUAUUGGGCAAUGGAAGGGAAACUCUGACCCAGCAACGCCGCGUGAAUGAAGAAGGUCUUCGGAUUGUAAAGUUCUUUAAUUGGUGACGAAAAAAUGACGGUAGCCAAAGAAUAAGCCACGACUAACUACGUGCCAGCCGCCGC
Molecule: ribosomal RNA, 471 nt
Filed under: uncultured bacterium
Lineage: Bacteria
Description: bacterial SSU rRNA
Rfam family: Bacterial small subunit ribosomal RNA
Source: RNAcentral